UUUGAGGGGAAUGAAGCCUGGUCCGAAGCAUUAUUCAGAGACUUUCUUCUAUUCAGAACCUUACUCUGAAGCAGCCUCGAGCCAGCCAACAUUCCCCUCAAU
Molecule: microRNA precursor, 102 nt
Filed under: Olea europaea subsp. europaea
Lineage: Eukaryota; Viridiplantae; Streptophyta; Magnoliopsida; Lamiales; Oleaceae
Source: RNAcentral